RNAcentral lists this ribosomal RNA (253 nucleotides) under uncultured bacterium. Its description in RNAcentral is "partial 16S ribosomal RNA". It matches the Rfam family "Bacterial small subunit ribosomal RNA", at positions 524 to 776 of the family's 1533-position model. The record is from RNAcentral.
UACGAAGGGUGCAAACGUUGCUCGGAAUCAUUGGGCGUAAAGCGCACGUAGGCGGCCUGUUAAGUCGGAUGUGAAAUCCCUCGGCUCAACCGAGGACGUGCAUACGAAACUGGCAGGCUCGAGUAUGGAAGAGGCGAGUGGAAUUCCUGGUGUAGCGGUGAAAUGCGUAGAUAUCGGGAGGAACACCAGUGGCGAAGGCGACUUCCUGGCCUGUUCUUGACGCUGAGGCGCGAAAGCUAGGGGAGCAAACGGG